CAAUAGCGUAUAUUAAAGUUGUUGCAGUUAAAAAGCUCGUAGUUGGAUUUCUGGUAGGAGUGACCGUGCCAGACUUGAUCGUCUGUGUAUUGUGUUGUCUCCAGCCAUCCUUGUGGAGAACUUUUCUUGCAUUAAUUUGUAGGGAUUGGGACCCGCAUCGUUUACUGUGAAAAAAUUAGAGUGUUUAAAGCAGGCAAUCGCUUGAAUACAUUAGCAUGGAAUAAUAAGAUAGGACUUUGGUACUAUUUUGUUGGUUUGCAUACCAAAUUAAUGAUCAACAGGAACAGUUUGAGGAUAUUCGUAUGAACAUGUCAGAGGUGAAAUUCUUGGAUCUUGAUCAGACGAACUACUGCGAAAGCAUUUAUCAAGGAUGUUUUCAUUAA
This 383-nucleotide ribosomal RNA is filed under the name uncultured eukaryote. RNAcentral's name for it is "partial 18S ribosomal RNA". It matches the Rfam family "Eukaryotic small subunit ribosomal RNA", at positions 592 to 976 of the family's 1831-position model. The record is from RNAcentral.